This is a long non-coding RNA of Thunnus maccoyii (southern bluefin tuna), 487 nucleotides long. RefSeq lists it as uncharacterized. NCBI's taxonomy places the organism in Eukaryota, Metazoa, Chordata, Actinopteri, Scombriformes, Scombridae. The transcript has 4 exons. The record is from RefSeq and is a predicted model, not a curated record.
AUCAUGUGGUCUCUUAAAUCCUAUGACUGCGUCAUCAGAAGUUGGAGAUGGGUGGAAUUGUCCUGGUAGUUUGCUGUGAUCACAGGCCAAAAAAAUCCUAAAGAUGCAGAUGUCAGCUGGUCAGUCAGUGGAGCUCCCACAGGCACUAUCAAACAGCCCCUGCAGGGUCAGAUGCCAAUCAUUGUGAAGUCCAGAUUGUGUAACCUGCGUAGCCUGUCCCCCAAAGACCUGAAGAAGAAGAGGCUUUCCUGGUGUUCUCCUCCUUCCAGUAUGCAGUUACCUGGUAAUACUUUGUCUCCCAGAACUGCUCCAUCUUCUGGAAGCCAAGCCUGUCCUUCAAAGAGUGGACUUCCACCUCUGUCAAAUGUGACAGGUAAAACAGCAGCUUGGACCGAUUCCUGAUGACACUUCAUGAAUCCAGCUGACAUUUGAGCAACCCACGGGACUUUACCCAUCUUCUGUGACCUGAAACAAUCAAUAAAUAAUC